This 439-nucleotide ribosomal RNA is filed under the name uncultured bacterium. RNAcentral describes it as "partial 16S ribosomal RNA". It matches the Rfam family "Bacterial small subunit ribosomal RNA", at positions 339 to 795 of the family's 1533-position model. The record is from RNAcentral.
CUACGGGCGGCUGCAGUGGGGAAUAUUGGACAAUGGGGGAAACUCUGAUGCAGCAACGCCGCGUGGAGGAUGACACUUUUCGGAGCGUAAACUCCUUUUAUAUAGGAAGAAGAUGACGGUACUAUAUGAAUAAGCGCCGGCUAACUCCGUGCCAGCAGCCGCGGUAAUACGGAGGGCGCAAGCGUUACUCGGAAUCACUGGGCGUAAAGAGCGUGUAGGCGGAUUAAAAAGUCAGAAGUGAAAUCCUAUAGCUUAACUAUAGAACUGCUUCUGAAACUCUUAUUCUAGAAUAUGGGAGAGGUAGAUGGAAUUUCUGGUGUAGGGGUAAAAUCCGUAGAGAUCAGAAGGAAUACCGAUUGCGAAGGCGAUCUACUAGAACAUUAUUGACGCUGAGACGCGAAAGCGUGGGGAGCAAACAGGAUUAGAUACCCGCGUAGUC